AGUGUUUAAGUGUUUAUGAGACUAAAGAGAAUGAGAUUAAGAGACUGAGAGACUAAGAGAAUAAGUGUUUAGAGAUUAGAGUUUCAGAUUCAAGAACUAGUUUUUCAUUUCCAUGAAGGAGAGGGGAAAUCCCCCUAACUCUCUUAAGAGUUACAAUUUCGUCCAUACAUCUGUUUAUAUAGGCUGUUACAAUCUGAGACAUCAUAAACCUAUAUCUAAUGGCUGUAAAUCACUUAAGAGGAAUGGAUGGUGUAGAUGAGCUGGUCUUGUUGCAAUCUGAGUAGUUGAUGCUGAUUGGUUAAGAGGAGAUGGAGUCUGAUUGGUUUAAUUCAAAAUGGGGAAGGCUGAACUGUGAUUGGCUCUCCUUAGGCUCCUCCUAAUCUAUCCAGAGAUCAGUCCAGGUACAUGGUCGUGGCUCCCCUUGUCUUUACAGCCAAGGCCAGCCUGUCCCAAGACCAAACUAGCCAAUCACACUCCAAUGGCAUCUUCUUGAUUCUCCUUUGAUGCCAUCUGAUCAGAACCUUAUCCACAAGACUGGGACCACUUUUAUAACUCCUAAACCUUGCCCAGACAUUGCACAACCUUCCCGGGACGUCAGGUUCGCCCUAUUUUUGCACCAACUCCAAAACUUCUCAAAUGGCCGAGUUAUGCAAAUCUGGGUCGCCCUGGUCCGUACGGAUCCGUACUGUCCGUACAUGUCCGAACUGCCUCGCCCUAUCUUUGCACACUCGCCCAUUUGCUCCCAAAUACACUUCUAAGUCUCUCCUAGACUUGACCCUAACUUUGCACAUCCAUCAGGACACUUCUGGACACCUUGCCCUAUCUUUUGCACAAGCCCCAACUCAACUCAACACUUUUAGUUUCUCCAUUUCUUCUCUUCAAGUUAACACUCCCCCUCAAGCUUGACUUUAGUUGAUCCUAUGUCAAGCUUGGAACCUUGAAGAACUUCCUCAUUAAAAACCUCACCAAGGAAAACCCUUUGGGACAAAACCUUGAUGAGGGAAAAAGAGUAAAGUCUCCAAGGCCUAGGGAUUGGCCAGUGAGUCUUUGUGCCUUACCAACAAUGUAAGGGACAUAAAGACUCUGGAUCAUGGCCUCUUCAUUCUCCCCACGCCUUGUACUCUCCUUACAGCCUGAUCUUGGUUAAAGACUCUGGAUCAUGGCCUCUUCAUUCUCCCCACGCCUUGUACUCUCCUUACAGCCUGAUCUUGGUCUCUCCCCCUUUCACAUAACCUCUUGUUAGGUUAAAGUGCUCGGACACACCAGAUCAGCCUCUUCUUGGAGAUACAACACUCUUGCUGAGUCUUGGCUGCUUCUUCUUCUUCUAGAGUCGCCACCUUGUUUCUGGAACUACAUGAGGAUGCUUCAGCCACUCUCCAAUCACCUCAACACUUGAAGCCGCCUUGGACAUUGCUUCUUCAUCCUUCAUCAUACUUCCCAACAGGUUGCUUACUCUUCUAGAAUAACCACCAAGCUCAUUCUGAUCAUGUAAGAUUCAACACUUCUUAGCCUCUUCAUGUAGCCGGUUUGAUUGUCCCCCUCUCAACUGACUUCUCAGCCAUCUUAGAAAGGCUAGGAUGCGGCCGGUUCAUCUUUAAAACACCAGUGAGGCUGAGCAAUACUUCAAACUAGGCUUGCCCUCUUCAUAGACCUGAUUGGAGUCUCCCCCUCUCAACAGACUUUACAGCCACUUUAGAGAAGCUAGGAAACAACCAGGAACAUCUUCAGUGAGGCUCAAGCAAUGGUACUUGAUACAUUAUCCCAAAGGUGCAUCAGUACUUAUCAAGACACAUCACACAAUCCAUUCAAACAUUUUAAGUAUCAUUUCUAGACUUUGAUUUGAAAUGAUGAAUGUAUUGAAUUGAAUUGAGCUUAGAACACUUCCCUUUUGUUUUGAUGAGUUCCCACUCGGCCAUUGCACCAUCUCCAUGGCACCAUCAACUUCUUGGAAAAAGGCAGAAUGGAUUCAUCAGCUUCUCAUCAAUCACUUCACCAUAGAAGCCGCUUUGAUGAGUUCUCCUUCACCCUUAGACUGCCUAGAAUAGCUCCGACUGAUGAUCCUUUGUAGGAGCCUUUGCAAAUACUUGUUACUGACCAUGGAUCAUAUGCAUUAAGACUCCCCCUCAAGCUUAGAACCGAGACUAGAAGGAGCUAAGCUUGUGAUGAUCAUAUGCAUCCCCAUGGUCUUAUAACUAUCAGUCUUUCAUGAUAGCUUUCUUCUUGUGAGUCUACUCUCUUCCUUAACCAGGAAUUAGGGUGUUUGAAUCACCAUAGAGAGCCUCACAAGACACACUUCUCAUUGCAUAAUGACCCAUGCUACACUUCCUGUAGACUUUGGACUGAAUAUGUCCAAUGGUAUUAUGCAAUGGCCAUCUCUCAUUGCAUUAUCAAUCACACUACACUUCCUGUAGAUUAUGGACUAACAUGUCCUAGUGAUGAUAUGCAAUGACACAAAACCUUUGUCUCUACAUUCUUGGUUGUUGGCGAGUUACAUGUAUCACACUCCUUGUGUACCUAACACCACCACAACUCAAUGCAAGAUCAGAUCAUCCCAUUGGGAUCAAACCAAGAUCAUCCAUCCUGUUUGAUCACCAAUGCCACAAUAAUAUAUAAUACUUGAAACAAGCCAGACAAUCAAGGCAAGAACAAGCAGAUUCCAAUCUCUAAAAAUAAUAAUGCAAGCUCUAAAUAAUACAUUGACAUCCUAGGUUUAUAUAUAUAUAUAUAUAUUUUUUUUUUAAGUUCUCUAAAUGCAAUGCAAGCUUACAUCAGUACAUUUGCAAUUUAGGCUCAUUUUUAAAUGCAUCACUACAGGAAUGCACAAUCUUAAAGCAUUAGCUACAUGAAUGCAACAGGUUCAAUCCAUGAGCAAUAUUAAAGCUAUGCACGACAGUUUCAAUCAAAACCAAUGAUGCAAGCAACUUAGACAAUUUCUAAUUGAUGCAAGACUUUCAUUGAUGGAUUAAACAUAGGCAUUAGCAUCAGACCACAAUAGGAUUGAACUUAGACAGAAUGAGACAUGCUUAUGUAUGCAAAACAGCUUUUCAAACAUGAUGCAAGCAGUAGAGACAUUCUACUCAAUUCUACAACACAUUCAUGAUGAUUCAAGCUAUGGCAACACACAAGACAAUGCAAUAAACAAAACAUUUUCAGUGCAAUUAGCUUAGACAUUCUACUAGAAGCUAUAAACUAUUAAUGGAACUUUCGACAGGGAAAUCACAGAGCAUAAUCAAGAGAUAGACCUAUCAAGACAUAUUAAAAUAGAUGAGACUAGGUUUACUCCCUUGUUUAAGAUGCUGAGGAGUGGUCCUUAGUGUCGCCACUUUAAUCCUCACUUCUUCUUCUCCUCUCAUUGCAAUCACCCUUCUGAAUUUGCCACCAUGAUGGAAUGCUUAUGGAAUUUUCAGCUACUUCUUCAAUCACCUCACACUAGAAGCCGCCUUGAUAGAGUAGCCUUCUUCUUCACACAGCCAAGAGUGCUCUGUCUUAGUUUGAGCACUCUCUUGAAUAAGCACGCCACUGCCUAGACCCGGUUGGCUUCUUCUUCAAUUACUUGCAAUGGUAAGGAGAGGAACAACAGUGAGCUUCAGUGAGUUUUACAACCAUAUGCGCUUCACCCUUCUUGUAACAACUCUCCAUUGCACACACAAUGGGCACCAUUCAUUCUCUUUCAACUCGGAUUUGAUGAUGAACUAGGAACACCUUUUGUGAACCUGAAACAUCACUCAAACUCCAGCAAGGAUAAGACACAAUUGCAUUGGGAUCAAUCCUUGACUUUAUCAAGUUUGAUCACCAAUGUCUCAGGCUUUAUUACACUAGACAGAAUCAAGAAAAUGUCAAGUUCUUAUCUAUGCAAGCAGCCUUUCUCUAAAUACUAAGCAAGACCUUAUCAGAUUCAAGCCAAAGUAUUUAGACAAUUUUAACAACUCCUUAAUAUUCAACUUAGACUUUAAUCUAAAUGCAAUAAUACAAGGCAGCAACAAGACAGUAUGCAUUAACUUUAAUCAGUUUCUAACUCAUGAAAGCAAGCAUGAUUGGAUAAUAUAAACUAUCAUCUUAACAAGGCAAUUCAAUUUAGAACUGGCAUUAAGCAUUUUAAACAUUUUCAAUUGUAUUGAUAUCAAUCCUUGAUUGAUAAAUCAUCAAGUUUGAUUCCCAUUAUCACAAGCAAUGCAACAGAUAGACACAAGGCAUUAUCAAGUUCUAAUCUUUGCAAGCAAACUCUCUAAGCACAAGCAUGAUCAUAACAGAUUCAAUACAAGCUACCUAGGCAAUUUUAAAGCUUCUUUACUCAGCAAUUUAGACAUGAAUCUAAUGCUUCAAUGUAAGACAGCCUCAAGAUGAUAACAUGCAUUAAUCUUUAUCAGUCCCUAACACAUGAAUGCAACCAGUUUUGACAGUACCAUUUAGCAUAUUAAUACACAUUCAUUUAGAGCUGGGAUUAAGCAAUAAUAUUAUCAACCAACAUCAGACACAAUGCAUAACCUUAGGUGAUUUCAUUUCAUGAAAGCAAUCAGGUUUAGACAACUUCUAACUUCCUAACAAGCCUCACUAGAAUCAGGGUUAAUCAUUUUUAAUUUAUUCAACCACCAAACAAGACUUUUUAAGCAUUUUGGACAGAUUCUAAAAUUCAUUUCAUUUCAUUUAGCAAUCUUUAAACAAUCCUCAGGUUUUCAAUCACAUCAGAACAUCACAACCAGUCAAUAUACUCAAGCUUUAUACAAGAGAAAGAGGUUUCUUACAGCCAAGGAACUAGUGUUAGUUCCUUGAAACUCCAUAGAUCAUGGCAAGACAGUGAGCUGUUGGUGUCAACUCCAACUUCUCCUUCUCCCAUGGACCUUUCUCUUGCACUCUCCAUGUCAAAGACCACACCUUUCUUCAUGUUGAAUUCGCCACACCAGUACCAGCUGAAAGCUGUCACCUUUCUUCUUGGACAGUGAAUAAGAACCCUUUGCUUCCAAGGUUCUUUCUUCUUCAUGGGCUUCAUGAGAGAGUGUAGAUCAGCCAGAGACAGCUUCUGGACACCAUGGAUGAGCAUACCUUCUUCUUGAAGAGUUGAACAGCCGGCUGGACCAUGGAGCUUCUUCUUGGCUUCAAGCGACAUGGAGGAGAGGUAUGAGCUUCAGGGGAAGCAAGAACCAAGUUCAGUUGAACCUGGCUCUGAUACCAUGUGAUUUUUAAAGAGAUCUCUACUCUGGUUGUAUGUGUGUGUGUGUAACUCCAAUGGAGAAGGAUAAGAGCUUGUUUUAGGUGAUUUGAGAACAGAGAUUGAUGAGAGUGUUUAAGUGUUUAUGAGACUAAAGAGAAUGAGAUUAAGAGACUGAGAGACUAAGAGAAUAAGUGUUUAGAGAUUAGAGUUUUAGAUUCAAGAACUAGUUUUUCAUUUCCAUGAAGGAGAAGGGAAAUCCCCCUAACUCUCUUAAGAGUUACAAUUUCGUCCAUACAUCUGUUUAUAUAGGCUGUUACAAUCUGAGACAUCAUAAACCUAUAUCUUGUUAACUUGAAGAGAAGAAGUGGAGAAGCAAAAGUGAUGAGUUGAGUUGGUGCUUGUGCAAAGACAUGGCAAGAUCUUCAGAGAUUGUAUGUUAAGGCUUUGGGAGAGUCUUAAGGCUUCAGAAGUGGUCUGAUGAGUGUGCAAAGAUAGGGUUAAGUCCAGGAGGGACUUAGACACCAUUUGGAGAAGAUUUGGGUCAGACAGUAACUCCAAAGUUACCACAGUAACUUUGGAAAGUUACCACAGUAAGAUUGGAGAAGUUUGGGCAAGUUGGUGUAAAAGUGAAUAGUGAAUCACUAGUCACUAUUCAGGUUGACUAUUCACUAUUUGGGUCACUAUUCAGGAUGUGAAGAGUGUGCAUAGUAUAUGGAUAAGGCACCAAGGUUUGAAUCUAGUCAAAGGGAAUCAAGAAGAUGCUUUGUGGAGGCAAACAACCAAUGGGAGCUUCCUUGUGUGUGAUUGGCUAGUUCUGGUCUUGGACAGGCUGUCUCUUGCUGUAAAGAGAAGGGAGCCACGACCAUGAACCUGGACAGAUGCAUGGAAAGAUUAGUAGGAGCCUAAGGAGAGCCAAUCACAAGCAAGGAGCCAGCUUGCCUUGGUUUGAAUUAAAGUGAGCCAGCUUAGCUUAUCCAAUCAGCACACAUCACUCAGAUUACAACAAGACCAACUCAUCCUCACCAUCCAUUCCUCUUAAGUUAUUUCUAUCCAUUAGAUAUAGGUUUAUGAGUUUGCAAGAGUGUAAAACCUAUAUAAAGAGCCUCAUGGGCGUGUGUAACUCUCUUAAGUGAGUAUGGGGGUUUUCCCCAUCUCCUUCAUAAAUAUAAAAGUGUGUUCUUGAUCAGAUUCUCUUAAUCUACCCCUUUCUUAGUCUCUAAUCUCUUAAUCUCUCUAAGUCUCUUUGUUUCUGAUUCAAGUUCAUACUAGUUUCAUCAGACCUCUUAUUCAACUAGUUCAAGACCUUAUUCUUUGCCUCUAAUGGCUUCUCAUACACAUACACAGCCAGAGCUCUCAAAUCUCAUAUGGUAUCAGAGCCAGGUUCAUCAGAACCUGAGCUGAGCUUCCGCAAAUCCACAGCUCUCAUCUCAGCUCAAACCAAACCCUUGAAGUCAUAUCCAUCCGAGUUCAGCUCUUGAAGAAGAAGAGACUUGAAGCCAUGGAGUGUUAUCCUGUCCCUCAAGCCGUUGCUGUCUGUACCUGAUGGAGAGAGUCUCAUUGGAAGCAAAGGAGGAUGGAGAGGCGUCAUGAACCUCAAGCCAAAACUCCUUGUCCAAGAGCUUGUUACAUCCUGCUACAAGAAAGAUGAAGUGAAGAGAAGCAGGCUUGAUAGUAUGGAGCAAGGAGGGGUCUUUGGGUGUGAGAAACAAGAAGGAGGCCAUGGACUGAAGGAGAAGGAGUUGGGUGACGACCUAGACUCUUGAAUCCAACCAUAUCAUGGCCAGAUUGCCUUUGGAGGCUUAAGGAACCAACCUGGUUCCUUGUGUAAGUGAUUCUUUAAAACCUUCUUGAUAUUGAGCUUGUGGUGUGACUGUGCCUGGUUAUUGUGAUGUGUAUUGAUUGAAAAACCUGAGGAUAAUGUGUGAUUGCUAAAUAUAAUUAGUUGAAUCUGUCCCAGGAUGCUUUAAAGGCUUGUUUAGUGUUUAAAGAGUAAAAUGCUUGCUCCUGUUAAGUAAUGAGUUUGCUAAAUGUGAAAUGGUAUUGUUUGAAACUCAUGAACUGAAAACAGAUUGAAAGUAAUGCAUUGUCUGAUGUUAAGUGAUGAUAGUAAUGCUUAGCCUAAGUUAUAAAUGAAUGUGUGAUGAAUUGUAUUGUUGCAUUCAUGAAUUAAAACUGAUUAAGGUUAGUGCAUACUGUCAAAUGGCUGUCUUACAUUGAAGCAUUAGAUUCAUGUCUAAAUGCUGAGAAAAGAAGCUUUAAAAAUUGCCUAAGUAGCUUGUAUUGAAUCUGUUAGGAUCAUGCUAGUGCUUAGAGAGUUUGCUUGCAAAGAUUAGAACUUGAAAAUGUCUAGUUUAAUCUGUUGCAUUGCUUAAAGACAUUGGUGUUCAAACUUGAUGAUGCAUCAAGGGUUGACCCAAUGCACUUGUGUCUUAUCUUUGCUGGAGUUUGAGUGAUGUUUCAGGUUCACAAGAGGUGUUCUUGGUUCACCAUCCAUCCGAGUUGAAAGAGGAAGACUUUGCCCAUUGUGUGGAGCAAUGGAGAGUUGAGAAAGAAGUGGUGAUGCACCACUGGUGUGAAGUCUCACUGAAGCUCACUUGCAAGCUUGGACUUAUACCCAAUCCAAGCUUGAGGAGGGGAGUUUAAUCACUGAAGCUCACUUGCAAGCUUGGACCUAUGCUCAAGCCAAGCUUGAGGAGGGGAGUUUAGUGAGCUUCCAACCGAUCCAAGAAGUCCAUUGCAACCAUCUGAAGAAGGAGCCAUCCGGGCUUAGGCUGUGGCGAGUCUAUUCAAGAGAGUACUCAAACUAAGACAGAGUACUCUUGGCUGUGAGAAGAUGAAGGCAACUCUAUCAAGGCGGCUUCUAGUGUGAAGUGAUUGGAGAGAUAGCUGAAGCUUCCACAAGCAUUCCAUGAAGAUGGCAAGAUCAGAAGAGAAGCGGCAAUGGUGUGUGUGUGAGGAUCAUGAAGCAAUCCAUUCAAGCUUGUUCCUGUGAGAGUCUCAAGCUUGAGGGGGAGUGUUGAAGCUUACAUGAUCCAAGAGAGCUUGGUGGUUAUUCUAGAAGAGGAAGCAACCUGUUGAGAAGUAUGAUGAAGGAUGAAGAAGCAAUGUCCAAGGCGGCGUCAAGUGUUGAGGUGAUUGGAGAGUGGCUGAAGCAUCCUCAUGUAGCUCAAGCAACAAGGUGGCGACUCUAGAAGAAGAAGAAGCAGCCAAGACUCAGUAAGAGAAGUUGUAUCUCCAAGAAGAGGCUGAUCUGGUGUGUCCGAGCACUUCAACCUAACAAGAGGUUAGGUGAAAGGGGGAGAGACCAAGAUUAGACAGUAAGGAGAGUACAAGGCGUGGGAUGAUUGUAGAGGCCAUGAUCUAGAGUCUUUGUGUCCCUUACAUUGUUGGUAAGGCACAAAGACUCACUGGCCAAUCCCUAGGCCUUGGAGACUUUACUCUUUUUCCCUCAUCAAGGUUUUGUCCCAAAGGGUUUUCCUUGGUGAGGUUUUUAAUGAGGAAGUUCUUCAAGGUUCCAAGCUUGACUUAGGAUCAACUAGAGUCAAGCUUGAGGGGGAGUGUUAACUUGAAGAGAAGAAGUGGAGAAGCAAAAGUGAUGAGUUGAGUUGGUGCUUGUGCAAAGACAUGGCAAGAUCUUCAGAGAUUGUAUGUUAAGGCUUUGGGAGAGUCUUAAGGCUUCAGAAGUGGUUUGAUGAGUGUGCAAAGAUAGGGUUAAGUCCAGGAGGGACUUAGACACCAUUUAGAGAAGAUUUGGAUCAGACAGUAACUCCAAAGUUACCACAGUAACUUUGGAGAGUUACCACAGUAAGAUUGGAGAAGUUUGGGCAAGUUGGUGUAAAAGUGAAUAGUGAAUCACUAGUCACUAUUCAGGUUGACUAUUCACUAUUUGGAUCACUAUUCAGGAUGUGAGGCACCAAGGUUUGAAUCUAGUCAAAGGGAAUCAAGAAGAUGCUGUGUGGAGCUGAUUGGUUACUUUGGAGCAUGGACAGGCUGGCUGUUGCUGUAAAGGAAGAGCAGCCACGACCAUGCACCUAGACUGAUCUGUAGACAGAUACAAAGGAGCCUAAGGAGAGCCAAUCACAGCACAGCCUUGGUUUGAAUUAAAGUGAGCCAGCUUAGCUUAUCCAAUCAGCACACAUCACUCAGAUUACAACAAGACCAACUCAUCCUCACCAUCCAUUCCCCUUAAGUUAUUUCUAUCCAUUAGAUAUAGGUUUAUGAGUUUGCAAGAGUGUAAAACCUAUAUAAAGACCCUCAUGGGCGUUUGUAACUCUCUUAAGAGAGUAUGGGGGAUUUCCCCAACUCCUUCAUAAAUAUAAAAGUGUGUUCUUGAUCAGAUUCCCUUAAUCUACCCCUUUCUUAGUCUCUAAUCUCUUAAUCUCUCUAAGUCUCUUUGUUUCUGAUUCAAGUUGAUACUAGUUUCAUCAGACCUCUUAUUCAACUAGUUCAAGACCUUAUUCUCUGCCUCUAAUGGCUUCUCAUACACAUACACAGCCAGAGUUCUCAAAUCUCAUAUGGUAUCAGAGCCAGGUUCAUCAGAACCUGAGCUGAGCUUCCGCAAAUCCACAGCUCUCAUCUCAGCUCAAACCAAACCCUUGAAGUCAUAUCCAUCCGAGUUCAGCUCUUGAAGAAGAAGAGACUUGAAGCCAUGGAGUGUUAUCCUGUCCCUCAAGCCGUUGCUGUGUGUACCUGAUGGAGAGAGUCUCAUUGGAAGCAAAGGAGGAUGGAGAGGCGUCAUGAACCUCAAGCCAAAACUCCUUGUCCAAGAGCUUGUUACAUCCUGCUACAAGAAAGAUGAAGUGAAGAGAAGCAGGCUUGAUAGUAUGGAGCAAGGAGGGGUCUUUGGAUGUGAGAAACAAGAAGGAGGCCAUGGACUGAAGGAGAAGGAGUUGGGUGACGACCUAGACUCUUGAAUCCAACCAUAUCAUGGCCAGAUUGCCUUUGGAGGUUUAAGGAACCAACCUGGUUCCUUGUGUAAGCGAUUCUUAAAACCUUCUUGAUAAUGAGCUUGUGUUGUGUUAUUGCCUGGUUAGUGUGAUGUGUAUUGAUUGAAAAACCCUGAGGAUAAUGUGUGAUUGCUAAAUAUAAUUAGUUGAAUCUGUCCCAGGAUGCUUUAAAGGCUUGUUUAGUGUUUAAAGAGUAAAAUGCUUGCUCCUGUUAAGUAAUGAGUUUGCUAAAUGUGAAAUGAUAUUGUUUGAAGCUCAUGAACUGAAAACAGAUUGAAAGUAAUGCAUUGUCUGAUGAUAAGUGAUGAUAGUAAUGCUUAGCCUAAGUUAUAAAUGAAUGUGUGAUGAAUUGUAUUGUUGCAUUCAUGAAUUAAAACUGAUUAAGGUUAGUGCAUACUGUCAAAUGGCUGUCUUACAUUGAAGCAUUAGAUUCAUGUCUAAAUGCUGAGAAAAGAAGCUUUAAAAAUUGCCUAAGUAGCUUGUAUUGAAUCUGUUAGGAUCAUGCUAGUGCUUAGAGAGUUUGCUUGCAAAGAUUAGAACUUGAAAAUGUCUAGUUUAAUCUGUUGCAUUGCUUAAAGACAUUGGUGUUCAAACUUGAUGAUGCAUCAAGGGUUGACCCAAUGCACUUGUGUCUUAUCUUUGCUGGAGUUUGAGUGAUGUUUCAGGUUCACAAGAGGUGUUCUUGGUUCACCAUCCAUCCGAGUUGAAAGAGGAAGACUUUGCCCAUUGUGUGGAGCAAUGGAGAGUUGAGAAAGAAGUGGUGAUGCACCACUGGUGUGAAGUCUCACUGAAGCUCACUUGCAAGCUUGGACCUAUACUCAAUCCAAGCUUGAGGAGGGGAGUUUAGUGAGCUUCCAACCGAUCCAAGAAGUCCAUUGCAACCAUCUGAAGAAGGAGCCAUCCGGGCUUAGGCUGUGGCGAGUCUAUUCAAGAGAGUACUCAAACUAAGACAGAGUACUCUUGGCUGUGAGAAGAUGAAGGCAACUCUAUCAAGGCGGCUUCUAGUGUGAAGUGAUUGGAGAGAUAGCUGAAGCUUCCACAAGCAUUCCAUGAAGAUGGCAAGAUCAGAAGAGAAGCGGCAAUGGUGUGUGUGUGAGGAUCAUGAAGCAAUCCAUUCAAGCUUGUUCCUGUGAGAGUCUCAAGCUUGAGGGGGAGUGUUGAAGCUUACAUGAUCCAAGAGAGCUUGGUGGUUAUUCUAGAAGAGGAAGCAACCUGUUGAGAAGUAUGAUGAAGGAUGAAGAAGCAAUGUCCAAGGCGGCGUCAAGUGUUGAGGUGAUUGGAGAGUGGCUGAAGCAUCCUCAUGUAGCUCAAGCAACAAGGUGGCGACUCUAGAAGAAGAAGAAGCAGCCAAGACUCAGUAAGAGAAGUUGUAUCUCCAAGAAGAGGCUGAUCUGGUGUGUCCGAGCACUUCAACCUAACAAGAGGUUAGGUGAAAGGGGGAGAGACCAAGAUUAGACAGUAAGGAGAGUACAAGGCGUGGGAUGAUUGUAGAGGCCAUGAUCUAGAGUCUUUGUGUCCCUUACAUUGUUGGUAAGGCACAAAGACUCACUGGCCAAUCCCUAGGCCUUGGAGACUUUACUCUUUUUCCCUCAUCAAGGUUUUGUCCCAAAGGGUUUUCCUUGGUGAGGUUUUUAAUGAGGAAGUUCUUCAAGGUUCCAAGCUUGAC
RNAcentral lists this long non-coding RNA (11761 nucleotides) under Brassica napus (rape). RNAcentral describes it as "long non-coding RNA (BNAP_LNC023419)". The record is from RNAcentral. Lineage: Eukaryota; Viridiplantae; Streptophyta; Magnoliopsida; Brassicales; Brassicaceae.